UACGUAGGGGGCAAGCGUUGUCCGGAAUCAUUGGGCGUAAAGCGCGUGUAGGCGGCUCGGUAAGUCUGCUCUGAAAGCCCGGGGCUCAACCCUGGGAGGCGGGUGGAUACUGCUGAGCUCGAGUCCGGAAGAGGCGAGUGGAAUUCCUGGUGUAGCGGUGAAAUGCGCAGAUAUCAGGAGGAACACCAACGGCGAAGGCAGCUCGCUGGGACGGUACUGACGCUGAGACGCGAAAGCGUGGGGAGCAAACAGG
RNAcentral lists this ribosomal RNA (253 nucleotides) under uncultured bacterium. RNAcentral describes it as "partial 16S ribosomal RNA". It matches the Rfam family "Bacterial small subunit ribosomal RNA", at positions 524 to 776 of the family's 1533-position model. The record is from RNAcentral.